GAUGAACGCUGGCUACAGGCUUAACACAUGCAAGUCGAGGGGAAACGACGGGGAAGCUUGCUUCCCCGGGCGUCGACCGGCGCACGGGUGAGUAACGCGUAUCCAACCUGCCUCUGACUGAGGGAUAACCCGUCGAAAGUCGGCCUAAUACCUCAUGGCAUCGUCUGCGGGCAUCCAACGACGAUUAAAGAUUUCAUCGGUCAGAGAUGGGGAUGCGUCUGAUUAGCUUGUUGGCGGGGUAACGGCCCACCAAGGCGACGAUCAGUAGGGGUUCUGAGAGGAAGGUCCCCCACAUUGGAACUGAGACACGGUCCAAACUCCUACGGGAGGCAGCAGUGAGGAAUAUUGAUCAAUGGGCGAGAGCCUGUACCAGCCAAGUAGCGUGCAGGAUGACGGCCCUAUGGGUUGUAAACUGCUUUUAUGCGGGGAUAAAGUGAGGGACGUGUCCUUCAUUGCAGGUACCGCAUGAAUAAGGACCGGCUAAUUCCGUG
Molecule: ribosomal RNA, 491 nt
Filed under: uncultured bacterium
Lineage: Bacteria
Description: partial 16S ribosomal RNA
Rfam family: Bacterial small subunit ribosomal RNA
Source: RNAcentral